Molecule: microRNA, 18 nt
Filed under: Gallus gallus (chicken)
Lineage: Eukaryota; Metazoa; Chordata; Aves; Galliformes; Phasianidae
Description: microRNA Ros-gga
Source: RNAcentral
CAACCUACCUGCCUCCUG